RNAcentral lists this transfer RNA (69 nucleotides) under Ictidomys tridecemlineatus (thirteen-lined ground squirrel). RNAcentral describes it as "Spermophilus tridecemlineatus (thirteen-lined ground squirrel) tRNA". It matches the Rfam family "tRNA". From Rfam's summary of the family: Transfer RNA (tRNA) molecules are approximately 80 nucleotides in length. Lineage: Eukaryota; Metazoa; Chordata; Mammalia; Rodentia; Sciuridae. The record is from Rfam by way of RNAcentral.
GGGGUUGUGGCUCAGUGGUAGAGUGCUUGUUUAGCAUGCAUGAAGCACUGGGUUAUAUUCUCAGCACCA